ACACGACUACAUUAGAUACCCGGGUAGUCCCAGCCCUAAACGAUGCGCGUUAGGUGUAUCGGUGACCACGAGUCACCGAGGUGCCGAAGGGAAACCGUGAAACGUGCCGCCUGGGAAGUACGGUCGCAAGGCUGAAACUUAAAGGAAUUGGCGGGGAGCACAACAACGGGUGGAGCUUGCGGUUUAAUUGGAUUCAACGCCGGAAAUCUUACCGGGACCGACAGCAACAUGAAGGCCAAGCUGAAGACUUUGCCGGAUUAGCUG
RNAcentral lists this ribosomal RNA (264 nucleotides) under uncultured archaeon. Its description in RNAcentral is "partial 16S ribosomal RNA". It matches the Rfam family "Archaeal small subunit ribosomal RNA", at positions 717 to 982 of the family's 1478-position model. The record is from RNAcentral.